ACCCUUUGGUACUCUUUCAUAAUUGACUCAUUCCAUUCGGAGACAUCAGCAAGUAACCACCACCGUCGGUUUGCCUAUGAUUAACAUCGUCACCUCCCUCUCUCUUUCCGUUAUACCACAGUCGCAAAGCCACCCUGCCGCACAUCGGUUUGAAUCGUAAUCAGUUGCCGCCAACCAGCCGCAACCCGGUUUGUCUCCAUCAACACGUCACCAACUAUACUAAGUUAUCGAGCAAACGGUCCUAGCUCCAAAUUCAGUUAAUUGGUGAAACAGUAGGAGAAGUGAAAGCAGUGGCUGAUAUGCACCAGAGGAAAGCAGAAAUGGCUAAGCAUUCUGAUGCUUUUAUUGCUUUACCAGGUAUGACACCACACCACUGCGCAACUUUUUGCAUUGCUGCUUCUGUGAAUGCAUCGAGAACCGAUAACUAAAAUCCUGCAUCAGUCCUCGUAUUGGUCAAGUACAGGAAGUGAUGAUUUAGAAAGACCUAAGACACCGGUAUAUAAGUUGGACUCCUCAAUAUACUCAUCAAAAUUUGGCUGACUCAUCCGAAAUCAUGGAACGAGUCAGACCAAGAUUUCAUGGAGGCACAAGAAUGUGCAGAGGACAAGUUUAUUUGGACAUAUACGUCACCAAUUUUUCCCAUGGCAAGGGCAUACGCCAUUGAGCAGGAGAGCAGACGGAUUCGCAGGUUAUCAACACGUUUUUUCAAUUACCCUCUCUACACUGGUACCACCACAUAGCCCAUGUUUGGCCAGUUUACCUGGUCAUAGUUUAGCCGAGUCAGGACUCAGGACCACGAGCUCCUGCCCCUUAUCUUAUGUCAAAUCCAUUGAUGCCUGCAUCAUUACACAACCGACCCGACACUGGUGAACCAUCUGUUGAGCCGUUGCCACUGUCCACUACUCAAACAGUUGACAAAAACUGACCUCUAUAGAAAUACAAUUAAACAAUUGACUUUGCCCUUAUCAAGUAUAUAGAGAUUUUCCUAACCCCACCCCUAAAGAUGAUGUUCAUAUGCAGUAGUUGAACUAUUUAUAUAAGCAUCAAGUUUUUUUUUUUAUUAUAUAUGCUUAUAUAUAGUCAAGUCAAUUUAGAUGGAAAUGUUAUUAUUGAUUCAAAUAUGCAUGCUUACAAGUGUUGGUGAUUUUAGUUUAAUUAAUUUCAUUUUAGUAUAAUAAAAGAUGUGGUCCGUGUGGGGUACGUGCUUGACGUGGGUUCAAAGGGAAAACGCACCAUGGGACAAAAGUUCAUAGUAGGAAGCAGGAACUAAUAAUCGCUAGAAAUUAUUCUCUUAGUAUUAACCGGUGAUGUUAGUAGUAACCACGAAUAAUAGUAAGUUUGGCUAUCAACUUUAACUACCCUGAUGACCCAAAUUGAUACCGUCCGAAACAUAGGUACCAAGGUUUGUUUUUUUAUGGUUUUGAUCCAUGUAAAACCGGUGUUGAUUGUUAUAUCAAAUGUGUGUAUAUCAAAACGAUACCAGUCAAAAGCCCGCCACGUAGCACGGGGAUUAUAAUUGAAUCUGAUGAGUCAGGACACCCGCUGCAACGCGCGGGCAUUCCCACUAGUCACUUUUAAAAUUCAAUGUUUUCUGUGUUUCUACGUCCAAUAUGGCUUCUUUUCUAAGGAACUUCCUUUAAACUAACUCUGUGAUAACAAUCGGAAUCCCAUCAUUCGUCAAGCAACAGAGGUUAGUUAAAUGUUAUAGUUGUUUUAUCUUUUUUAAGUUUGUAAUCUUUGAUUUUAUCCUUUUUGUUCAGUUUUUUUAAAUUAAUAAUAUAUGUUCUGAAUGUUUUAUUGUUUGUAUUUUCUCAUGGUGAACCCUUCAAUCUUUUGUGACAUUCGGACUCGGACUUUUCGUCGACCAAAACAGGUUAGUUAAAUGUUAUUGGUAUUGUUUGUUUUUUUGAUAUGUAUAGUCUUUCUUAUUCUUAUUAAAUUUUUUUUUUAGUGUUAAUUUUGAAACUUUAUGUGAU
Molecule: long non-coding RNA, 1976 nt
Organism: Helianthus annuus (common sunflower)
Lineage: Eukaryota; Viridiplantae; Streptophyta; Magnoliopsida; Asterales; Asteraceae
Exons: 5
Source: RefSeq, a predicted model, not a curated record